Molecule: non-coding RNA, 390 nt
Filed under: Eubacterium sp.
Lineage: Bacteria; Bacillati; Bacillota; Clostridia; Eubacteriales; Eubacteriaceae
Description: T-box sequence
Rfam family: T-box leader
About the family: Uncharged tRNA acts as the effector for transcription antitermination of genes in the T-box leader family.
Source: RNAcentral
UUAAAGUCGAUGAACAAAAUAGUACUUUCAGAAGGUACACUACAGAGAGCCGGUGGCGGUGAGAACCGGUGUGGAGAGCUGGAACGAAUGGGUUUGGGAGAUGCAUUGGUGAACAUUUUAUGGUUAAGUAAGUAGCUGAUGACGUGACCUCACGUUACAGGGGCAGGGUAUUGCGCAGGCAGUAUCAGGAAUGAGUCAGAUAACAGGUGGCAUAUCCGGUUUCGGGUAUGCUUUUUUUAUUUUAUCGGAAAUGACAGCAUUUCUAUAAUAUAAAAAUAAAAGCCAGACUAUCCGUGACUUUUAUUUUCCUAUAUUUGUAACAGGGAAAAUGAAAACACAUAAUCCGGUAUCUGAGAAAACAGGGUGGCACCACGAUAAUUCGUCCCUUAU